UUUUUAAUAUCUAAUAAUUGCCUCCAGGUUGUACCUAUACGAACCUUGAUCAGAACUGCCCCGGGUAUGCCGCGGCGGGCUACUGCACUCGUACAGACUUAGCGAACUGGAUGAACACCAACUGCAAGAGGUCCUGCCAGUGUAAUGUUUGUGAAAAUAAUAACGCCAGUUGUGCAAGUUACGCCAGUGCCGGAUACUGUUCGAGCUACCGGGACUGGAUGUCCGCCUAUUGCCGCAAGAGCUGCAAUCUGUGCUAACAACACCUAGCAACCAUCCCUAGCAAUUACCACUCGACUAUGGAAAGCUCACCCUUAGAACAACACACCCUUGGAAACAUGAUCCUUCACAACAACUACUAGGUCUUAAAAGCUGGUUCCUUGAUCGUGGAUAAUUAAUCCCUAGCAACAACAUGAUUCUUAGACGUGUCCCAGCACGCUCGAGCUUGGAAAGCUGAUCCCUAGCAACUACUUAAACCUGGGUACAUCAUCCCUAGCAACCACUAGUCGAACAUGGGCAAAUGAUCCCUGGAAGCAAGUUGAUCGUGGGAAAAUAAUUCCUAAUAACUACCUUUUCUCGGGUGCAUAAUCCCUAGCAACCACU
This is a long non-coding RNA of Nematostella vectensis (starlet sea anemone), 600 nucleotides long. RefSeq lists it as uncharacterized. NCBI's taxonomy places the organism in Eukaryota, Metazoa, Cnidaria, Anthozoa, Actiniaria, Edwardsiidae. The transcript has 2 exons. The record is from RefSeq and is a predicted model, not a curated record.